AAACCAUUUCGGUACACAUACUAAAAUUGGAACAAUACAGAGAAGAUUAGCAAAGAUGACACGCAAAUUCGUGAAGCAUUCCGUAUUUUU
Small nuclear RNA from Otolemur garnettii (small-eared galago), 90 nucleotides. The record is from Ensembl. NCBI's taxonomy places the organism in Eukaryota, Metazoa, Chordata, Mammalia, Primates, Galagidae.